GCCCUCUAGCCUUCGGGUUGCUGGCGGUUACAAGGCCGCCCACACGGGUUGCCGAUUUAGACCUGAUUUCGGGACCAAGGGCGAGAGCGACCUCUCAGGCCUAGCCAAUUCGGUUCUGUGGUAUCAAAAACACCAAAGAUAAGAAACUCUUAUGUGCAGUUGUACGACUAUGAAAAGGGGGGUGAGUGCGUGCGGGCGCGGCCUAAAUUUGUGAGAAAGCACCUAAGGAAAUGAACCCGCUUCACCGCGCUCAGCCAGACACAGCCAGCCAGGCGGCCUGGCGGGGCCGGCCACCCAGGAAAGGCCCUAGGGACCCUUCUCCUCCAGGAACUCGUUUCCCGCCGGUCGCAGAAUGCUGCCUUCGCGCGGAAACUGGCUUCCUAGGGUUUCCCGCCGCUGGGCGGAGGUGGCCACCCAAGUAAGGCCUAUAGGCCGCCGGGCCGGGUAGGAUCCCCAUCUCUGCCCGCUGCGCUCACAACCGGACUUUGGGCCAGGGAGGUGCUAGUGCCGCCUCUCUGAAGGCCUCUCUGCAGAGGCGGACGUUUCCGUUUGUGGACCUUCCAUGUUAGCAUUUGGCUUAAGGGGCUGGGGUCAUGGAAAACGUUUUUAAAGGAUGCAAAAUUACACACCUAUGAAGAAAGUACUCCAGCGAUCCAGAUAGGAAUAAUUUCUCAAAAAGUCCAAAGGGGCAUUACCUAAGAAGGAAGAGAGCAUAUGGAAGUAGAAAAAAGCUGUUGUUUUCUUCUUAGAAAGCUGCCCAGCUGUACAAACAAGAUAGAAGUUCUCAGACAGAUCUGACAUAUGUCUUACUAUCAGAUGUGUAGCUGAAACCAUUUGGAUGUGAACAAAGAAAGAGGAAUUAUUUUCAUGGAUGAGAAGCAAAUGGCUAAACUUGAUGUCACCAAUCAUGACUCAAUAUUCAAGUCAAAAGAGGCAAAAUAGAAACAUACAAGAUUGAUUGUAUCUUGUUUUCUCAACUAAUAUUUCAAAGUCAAGAGCUUUUGUAUAUGUACUGAAAAAGUGACUUUCAAUCUGGUCUUUAAAGCUAUGAUUACCAUCUUUUCAUCGACACAUCUGUGCUGAUUAUCUUCCUUUUGCUCCUCCAGGACCACUGUCCACCUGCCCCUGUCCUGGAGUCCAAGGGCAUGGAGUCUAUCACUGGGGUCAGUACUUUCAGGCUUCAGCUGAGUUUGGCCGGUGGAGAGGAAGCACAGACAUGAAUCUGCAAGAUGGGAAAAGAGUGAGAAACCUCCAUAAUGUUCUCUGCAGGUCCACACUCUUAAUUGGUCCCUUGGAGGUGGUGAUGGUGGACAUUAAAAGUACCU
Phacochoerus africanus (Common warthog) is the source of this 1325-nucleotide long non-coding RNA. RefSeq lists it as uncharacterized. The transcript has 3 exons. NCBI's taxonomy places the organism in Eukaryota, Metazoa, Chordata, Mammalia, Artiodactyla, Suidae. The record is from RefSeq and is a predicted model, not a curated record.